RNAcentral lists this ribosomal RNA (253 nucleotides) under uncultured bacterium. RNAcentral describes it as "partial 16S ribosomal RNA". It matches the Rfam family "Bacterial small subunit ribosomal RNA", at positions 524 to 776 of the family's 1533-position model. The record is from RNAcentral.
UACAGAGGGUGCGAGCGUUAAUCGGAAUUACUGGGCGUAAAGCGUGCGUAGACGGUUAUUUAAGUCAGAUGUGAAAGCCCCGGGCUCAACCUGGGAACUGCAUUUGAAACUGGCGGGCUUGAGUGUGGCAGAGGGGGGUGGAAUUCCGCGUGUAGCAGUGAAAUGCGUAGAGAUGCGGAGGAACACCGAUGGCGAAGGCAGCCCCCUGGGCCAACACUGACGCUCAGGCACGAAAGCGUGGGGAGCAAACAGG